GGGGUCGACCCUGUCGGCAUUAUUGGGCGCAAGAGCUCGCAGGCCGCUUGUCACCUCCGUUGUGAAAGCCCGGGGCUUAACCCCCGGUCCGCCGUCCAUACCGGCAGGCUAGAGUUCCGUAGGGGAGAUCGGAAUUCCUGGUGUAGCGGUGAAAUGCCCAGAUAUCAGGAGGAACCCCGGUGGCGAAGGCGGAUCUCUGGGCCCAUACUGACCCUGAGGAGCGAAAGCGUGGGGAGCGAACAGGAUUAGAUACCCUGGUAGUCCCCGCCGUAAACGGUGGGCACUAGGUGUGGGCGACAUUCCCCGUCGUCCGUGCCGCAGCUAACGCAUUAAGUGCCCCGCCUGGGGAGUACGGCCGCCAGGCUAAAACUCCAAGGAAUUGACGGGGGCCCGCACAAGCGGCGGAGCAUGUGGCUUAAUUCGACGCAACGCGAAGAACCUUACCAAGGCUUGACAUACACCGGAAAGCAUCAGAGAUGGUGCCCCCCUUGUGGUCGGUGUACAGGUGGUGCAUGGCUGUCGUCAGCUCGUGUCGUGAGAUGUUGGGUUAAGUCCCGCAACGAGCGCAACCCUUGUCCCGUGUUGCCAGCAGGCCCUUGUGGUGCUGGGGACUCACGGGAGACCGCCGGGGUCAACUCGGAGGAAGGUGGGGACGACGUCAAGUCAUCAUGCCCCUUAUGUCUUGGGCUGCACACGUGCUACAAUGGCCGGUACAAUGAGCUGCGAUACCGCGAGGUGGAGCGAAUCUCAAAAAGCCGGUCUCAGUUCGGAUUGGGGUCUGCAACUCGACCCCAUGAAGUCGGAGUCGCUAGUAAUCGCAGAUCAGCAUUGCUGCGGUGAAUACGUUCCCGGGCCUUGUACACACCGCCCGUCACGUCACGAAAGUCGGUAACACCCGAAGCCGGUGGCCCAACCCCUUGUGGGAGGGAGCUGUCCAAGGUGGGACUGGCGAUUGGGACGAAGUCCUAACAAGGUAGCCGUACCGGAAGUGGUGAGAGCCCCCCCCCCUCUAUAUAAAAAAAUGUAUUGCGU
Molecule: ribosomal RNA, 1032 nt
Filed under: Streptomyces sp. VITPK1
Lineage: Bacteria; Bacillati; Actinomycetota; Actinomycetes; Kitasatosporales; Streptomycetaceae
Description: bacterial SSU rRNA
Rfam family: Bacterial small subunit ribosomal RNA
Source: RNAcentral